AGUGCCCUCGGGAUUUACUGUGCGUACCCUGCUCUCCGACUGUGUGGAGGUGUUAGUGGCCUGUGGAGCGCGGUGGAUGUGGGCAGCAAGCUCCGAGGAGCCCGGUUGACCUGUCGCUCAAGUGAAGCCGGCAGAAAUCCCCGAGGAGCUUUGGAAACCUGCGGCUUAGGUGGAGCCGGCGUCGCCUGGCCCGCGAGCGUGAGCGAGUUUCCUAGUAGCUGGCGCCUUGGGGACUGAAUCAACGACUCCUCCGCUUUUUAAGUUUUUUUAGGGUGUGGAUAAAGCCCGGACUCAGCCUUAGCUUCCAAAGCUGCAGAAACAGGACACCUUUAACAGCUGACUCUUGUAUCAUCAUCCUUACCCCAUUGUCAUCUGUUUUUCAAAAUGUAAUUUGAACCAGCUGUAUCAAAUCUACCUGUGGCAGUUGUUCAAAAUGCAGGUCCCUGAGCCCUGCCCCGGCAUGCCUCCUAAAGCCCAAGAUUUUAACCCCCACUAGAGUUUGAAAUUAAACCCUAUACUACACAGCAGAGAAGAACCUGGGAAGAGGCUCAGUGCUCUAGGAAAUAUAAUUCCUGAGCCUUUGGUAGUAUCUUGACCUGGACCAGCAAAACUGACAGGGAGCUAGCACCGCAGAAGUACUGUGCUUGUUGAUACCGAAGACUUUGACAGUGGAGACAUAGCUAUCCUGAUGACUCGGGCACAUUGAGUCAUAGCCCAGCAGAUUUACUGCAUUAUUAAGUAUGAGCUAAUAUGCUAUGUGAAGCAAAGAAGCCCUGUAUUUACUGCCACGCCGAGUUGAUACUCUCCUCCCUGGUAAUUACUCAAAUCAGCAGCUAGGUUUUUGGUAGGUUAUUGCUCAGACUCUUUGACCCUCCCCAAAGUCAUAAAUAUGAAUAGUACCUGGGUUUCUCGACUUGAAUCCCAGUUUAUAUGCCAGCUGAGAAAAGAAUAAAUGUUUUAGAAGCAUGCGGUGAUCCAAAUUGAAGGAAGUUUGGACUAUGGUUUUGUAAGACUAGUUUUUCCUUCAGACACUAUUAGAUUGCUUUUGUAGAAGAAGCCAACAGAGGAGAGAUCCAUGUGUAUGGACAGAGCUAGAGUGAUUGGUGCUUCAACAGCAGUCUCUUCAACUUUGCUUGAGUGUGGAGGCCACACAGAUCACAAACUCCAUUGGCUGCAAGAUACCUUUGCUCAAAAGGAGCUAACCACUGCACUGUUCCUCAGCAUAUCAAAGCUAAGCUGAAUUGUAUGCUACUAACGAUUUGGAAAGAUGAAAGAGAUUAACAGCACAAAGAUGCCAAUAAUUUUAAAUAUGAUCUUUAAAAAAAACUGCAUUCUUAAAAUGAGAGAGAUACACUCAAGGAAGAAGCAACUGCUCCAUACAUUAGCAUGUCCAAAAAUGAUAAUUAGACCUGCUGAGCUAUCUUUGCAACCAGAGAGGAACCAGCUUGAAAACAAAGCCGACACAAUGAGACGACAGCAGAAAAUGAAAAGAACUUGAGUCUUCAAUGAUGAUAAUGAAGUGAUGGACUAAACCUGGAGGGAGAAUACCUACUAUGGGCUUCCUGUCAUCUAAGGCUGCAUGGGAGGCUAUGGAUCAAAUCGGAGCUGCAGCUAAUGGCCUGGCCACAGCCAUAGCUGUAGCCACAGCCACACCAAUGCAGAAUCUGAGCCACAUCUGUGACCUACACCACAGCUCACGGCAACACUGAAUACUUAACCCACUGAGGGGGGCCAAGGAUUAAACCCGCAUCCUCAUGGAUACUAGUCAGGUUUGUUACCAGUGAGACACAACAGGAACUCCGCAUUCUUUUUUCUUUUUUCCUUUCUGUGGCAGUGAUUUCCACCACUCUAUCUUCCAGCUUACUUAUUUGUUCUUCUGCCUCAGUUAUUCUAAUAUCAAUUCUGUUUAGAGUAUUUUUCAUAUCAGUCAUUGUAUUAUUUAUCUUUAUUCUUUAAAUCUUCUAGCUCUUUGUUAAGAAUUUCUUGUAACUUCUCAAUAUGUGUCUUUUUCUGAGAUCUUGGAUCAUCCUUACUAUCAUUACUCUGAAUUCUUUUUCAGUUAUAUUGCCUAUCUCUUCUUCAUUUAGUUGUUUUUGUGUGUUCAUUCAUCUGAAACAUAUUUUUCUGUUUUCUCAUUUAGUCUAACUUUCUGGGCUUGUGGUCUCCUUUCUACAUGUUGCAGGAUUGUAGUUCCUCUUGUUUCUGGUGUCUGCCCCUCUGCUGGGUAAGUUUGGUCCAGGGGCUUGUGCAGGCUUUCUGGUGGGAGGGACUGGCAUUUGUCCACUGGUGGGUGGAGCUGAGUCUUGUUCUUCUGGUUGUCAGGGCCAUAUUAAGGGGUGUGUUUAGAGGUGGCUGUGAGCUCAGGAUGACUUUAGACAGCCUAUCUCGUUUUUAUAUUUUUUGGUAUGAGGGCUGGGGAUGGGGGGUUGUUUGAUUUUUAGUGGAUUUUUUUUUUUUUUUUUUUUUUUUUGGCUGUGCCCAUGGCAUGCAGAAGUUUCUGGGCCAGGAAUUGAACCCAAGCCACAGCAGUGACAAUGCUGGAUCCUUAACCCACUGUUCUAGGAAAUUCCACGAGGGCUAUUUUUAAUAUGGAUUGUUGCCACCUCUUUCCUCAAUGUAUGCUGGCUGUUAUCCCCUUGAUAGAAGGUAUGAAUGAUGUUUUGGUGACCAGAGCCUAUACUGGGUGUUUAUUGGAGCUGUGUUUUUGUUCUGCCCUUUAAGGGGUAGUGUCUACUCUCUAGUCGUUGGAGUAGGAGCCCCCAGAUCUGUUUCUCAAAUGUAUUUCUGAUCUGUGGCCUGAGGUAGGUGGGAUUUGAAUGCUCCUACUAGGAGAGGAGCCCCUGAGUAUUCCUUCAUUGGAGCUUUUUACCUGUGAGUGUUCUCUUGUAUGUCAUCUUUCACCUGUUGUGUGGGUUCACAAAGAGACUAUUGUUGGCACUGCUCUUGGCCCCAUCUUAACUGGGCGUAUGCUGGCAAUUGGCCCUGGUGUCUCUCAGGUGUUUUCACCAGUCCACCAGUACAUAUCCACUGAGGUCAGGUCCAAGGACUGCAGUAGUCAUGCACCUGGGCCCACUGUGGGAACUGUGGAGGCAGCUCAGACUCUGGCCUGGUCCAAUUCCUGUAUGUACAUUCCCACAAAGCCCAAAGCUGCUAAAGCCAGACCUAUCUUAGCUGCAGGAACAUUUGUUGUCCAUUCAGAUGUUCCACAGGUGCUAAAUUUACAAAGCCGGCAGCAGAGGUGAAAAUCUGUGGUUCUCACAGUCAGGAGGAGAGAUUUCAGCCUUUUCCUUAGCCAUAGGGCCCCUGUGGUUUCAGCCCCACCUCUGCAUGUGGGCAACCCACUGGAGACUGCCCCUGAGUCAGUAGGAGCACAGGAGCUUAUCCAGGAAGGAGUUGGGUGGGGCAGUGAUUCAGGCACACAGCGCACUCUGAGAGAGGAGGGUGGGGUGGCAUCUAGGUGCAUGAACCUGCCCAGAUGGAAGGCAGGCCAGGUAGUAAUCAGAUAUGAGGGCUCACUCCAGCAGAAGCUGGGUGGGACAGUGUUCUGGGCAAGCAGACCAGCCCAGGCAGGAGCCUCUCUCAGGGCCUGCAGAGGCAGGGGUCUGCAUGGAGAAAGAGGCUACAGUGGUGGCCCUGCCCGUCACGCACCACUUAACUAUGACACUUAGCCUCAGCCACUUGAGCCUCUUACCCAAAAACAUUCCCAGUUGCAGUGCUUUGCCCUCCAGCCAACUGCAGUUCUCUGCCCUGUCUGUUCUCUAAACCUUAUGUUCUAGCACCCAGCCUCCACCCUUAUCAGCGGUCACAUGUCUCAGGCUGGGGCAAAUAGGGUGAUGGCACAGAACAUCUGUGUAGUUCUCAUUCUGUCCUGCCAGCCACAUACCAGCUUCUCUGUUCUCCUCUGGGCCACCAAAGCUCCUUUUCUGUUCCAGCCAACCUCCCUGCUGGUGAGGGGAUUUCCCGGGGUGUGAGAACUUCUCUUCCCCUUCAGCUUCCUUCUGGGGGGAACAGGUCCCAAUCUGCUUCCACUUCUCUCUCUCUCUCUUUUUUUUUUCCUUCCCUUCAUCAGUUACGUGGAGAUCCCUC
RNAcentral lists this long non-coding RNA (4086 nucleotides) under Sus scrofa (pig). Its description in RNAcentral is "lncRNA (ENSSSCG00055000297.1)". Lineage: Eukaryota; Metazoa; Chordata; Mammalia; Artiodactyla; Suidae. The record is from RNAcentral.